GGAUGCGAUCAUACCAGCACUAAAGCACCGGAUCCCAUCAGAACUUCGAAGUUAAGCGUGCUUGGGCGAGAGUAGUACUAGGAUGGGUGAAUCCUCGUGUUGCAUUCC
RNAcentral lists this ribosomal RNA (108 nucleotides) under Triticum dicoccoides. The record is from RNAcentral. Lineage: Eukaryota; Viridiplantae; Streptophyta; Magnoliopsida; Poales; Poaceae.